This 1122-nucleotide long non-coding RNA is filed under the name Anser cygnoides (Swan goose). RNAcentral describes it as "lncRNA (ENSACDG00005010676.1)". Lineage: Eukaryota; Metazoa; Chordata; Aves; Anseriformes; Anatidae. The record is from RNAcentral.
GCUCAAGGCCUUUUUGUGCCCCCCCCUCCCCAUUUUCUGAGCCCCAAGGCCCAGGGGGCCACCAGCAGCUGCCGCCAGCACCACGCAGCCUUAACCCCUCUGCUACAGCCUCAGGGACUGCUUCAGCCUCCCUGCCUCCACCUCACCUCCAAGAAGCCACAGUACGACCCCAAAAGGCCUCUUUGUUCUGGGGGGCUUCCCCCAAGCCCACCUCAGCAGCUGGAAGAGGAGACCCAGCACAACCCCAAGCAGCCUCCAAGGCCCAAAACCCUGCACAAGAGAACCCAAAAAAACCCCACAGAGGGCAGAAAGCUGCCCCCUAACCCCCUAGAGAAGAAGCCACUCACCCUUCAACCCUCUCUCUUGCCCACCUCACCCUCAUCUGCCUCUUUUAUUGCCCCCGAGGGGCCGCAUCCUGCCCUGCUCUGCCCCACCAUUGGCUCUCCCGGGGCAGCCUCCUCGUCAGCUCCAGCUGCUGCUUGGAGAGGCAAUCUGGGGGCACCUGGGGGAGCAGCCUUCUCUCCUGAGCCCUCCUCCUGCCCCAGCCACCCCACUCGCACCCCAGCACCUCCUCCGUGCACUUGCACGUCGCCCGGUUUGGCGUUAUUCGGGGGAGCAGCCUGGGGGUGCCUCUUUUUUGGCCGGGCUGUGGCAGGAGGCAGCAGGGAGAGACACCCAGCAGGGACCCGUGCUCUGCACAAAUCCUUUAAAUUUCAGCCGGGGCUGCUGGGCAGCUCUUCUGAUGCCAUGUUACAUGUCCAUCUGUCCGUCCAUCCCCAGCAGCUUCAGCCGAGAGCUGAUUUUCACCCGCAGCGCCCUGGCACCAGGUACACGAGGAUGCUGGGGCUGCUGGCACAGCUCAUCCUGCCCGGGACCACAGCAUCAAAUAACCGCUCGCAGCAGGGCUUGGUGCGGCACUUGGGCAGCUCUGGGGACUCCGAAGAGUCUCUGGGGACCCACCCUGGCUUUGCCAGCCCUCCAAAACGUCACCCUUUUUGGCAAAGCCCUGUAAAAACCCACACAGGCAGGGGCACAGUGCGGGGAGCACGGCCUGGAAUGACCAGAGAGGCUGGGGCAGGAGGAAGGGCAGCUUUUGCCAAAUGGGGGAAAAGCAGCUAUUAA